UGGCCUCCAUGAUGUAGCGGUCAAUGCGUCACACCACUACUGCGCCCCCCCCCCCCCCACUUAUCCACUGGUUUGAUGGUGAGGUUAGGGUUGGAUCGGAGGGCUGCGCAUUCCUUGGGGGAGAGGUUGGAGUGAGUGAGAGAGUUUGAGGCGAUCGAUGUCGCGACGGCAGUUGGAAAUGAAGAGACCGAGGGAGGGUGGGAGGUCGUGGGGUGGUGUCCAGGAGGAUGGGGUUUGUUGCAGGUGGGAGAAGGGGUUGGCAGAGGGUGGGUUAGACUCUCGGUCAAAGAAAUAGGCGCGGAGGUGGAGGCGCCAGAAGAAGAGUUCAACAUCCAGACAUGAAUGGAGUUAAUUUAUGUGUGGGCACAGGGGAAUGAAGAUGUUUGGAACAAUUGAUUGCUUGCUCAUCCAUUUCUAAGGCAGUCAAGAGUCAACUACAAUGCCUGUGGGGUCUGGAGUCAACAAAGACCAGACCAGUUAAGGAUUUCCUUCCCUGAAUGUUUUUAAUUAAUCAGCAAUGGCAGACUGGCAUCUUAUAAGGCUAUGGUUUGUACCAUGCUGGUCAACUCAACCUGUGACAACCAUUCAGCUGUAUCUGGAAGAGUACUGCUCAUAUACUUGCAUCUGAAGCAUCAGCUACUGUUGGAAAUGAAGGUCCGCAAUGAGCUAAGACGGCUGUAGGUGUCAACAUUUCCUUAAUCUUCAAAAAAGUGUUGUCUUGAUGAAGAUUGUAACACCAUACUUGUAUCUUCUUGAGCAGUUACCCCAAGCGUUUUGUAAUUGUUGCUAGGUUAGGCAAAUAUUUUGCAAAUGAUUCGUUGUACUCAGAAACCUUUUAAGAUCCUUGACUGACUUUGGAAUGGGGAAUUCCACGUGGUUUCAUUCGUCUGAAGAUCAGCCACCAUGCCUUAACUGUUGCCAAUGUGUCCUAAAAAUGAAUGGAUUCUUUAGAGAAUUCACACUUCUCAUGAAGCGUGUGCCCCCUUCUUGAAAUGUUUUAAUAUUUUAUACUCUUCAAUCAUUGCCCCAUGGAUCUGUAUGUCAUUCAUGUGGCAUAUAACUUUGUGAAGACUUGUAAACGCUUGACAUGAUUUUUGAAAAAUCUCUAGGGCAAAUGCAAUUCCAAAAGGCAAUCUGAAAAAAAUUCCAAAUAGAGUGAUAAAUGUCAUAAGCAAUCUCGAUUGCUUGCUUAAUGGCAUUUAGAAAAAUAUGCUAUUUGUAUCGAGUUUUAUAAAAUAUCUCCAAGUGGCUAGGUUUGCUAGUCUCCCAGCAACAAUGGACAUCGGGUAAUUUGUGUCAGGUCAAUGCAAAUUCGAGGAGCAACUUUAAGGUUGGGCAUGUUAACAAUACCUGAACAUUGUUUUGUGGGUUUCUUGAUGAGGGCGAUAAUGCCGAUUCUUGUCAUUUCUGUGAGUUGAUUCUCAUUUUCUUUCUUCAUUAAGGGAUGUAAUAUCAUCUUGGAUGUGUAAAGGCUUAAUAUUUUUAUAUCUUUCUUUAGUGUGAUGCUAUAAUCAUUCCGAGUAAUUCUGAAUACAGAGUUGACUAGCACGGUGCAAACCGUUGUCUUCUAAAACAGGGGCUGCUAUAUGUCAAGUACAAACAUUAUUAUACGCUAUGCAUCACAGAACAAGUUAGAUACUGACGUAUGUAAAAUAUGUGGGAACAAAUUGUGCAGAGUAUAUGUAUUUAAGAAAAAUGUUACAUGUUAAAUGUGAAGGUUCAUGUUGGAAUUUGGUGAUGUUAUGUGACUGUACAUGCAUAUGUAAUAACUUUCCCUUCUACAGUUACACUAUUUUGCACUAGUGUAUCUAUAAAAUG
Molecule: long non-coding RNA, 1818 nt
Organism: Rhincodon typus (whale shark)
Lineage: Eukaryota; Metazoa; Chordata; Chondrichthyes; Orectolobiformes; Rhincodontidae
Exons: 3
Source: RefSeq, a predicted model, not a curated record